Gadus chalcogrammus (walleye pollock) is the source of this 220-nucleotide long non-coding RNA. RefSeq lists it as uncharacterized. Lineage: Eukaryota; Metazoa; Chordata; Actinopteri; Gadiformes; Gadidae. The record is from RefSeq and is a predicted model, not a curated record. The transcript is spliced from 3 exons.
CCACCAAACACAUGUCCAAAGCAGGACGCACAGACAUGCUCACCCUCUUGGCCAUGCGCUGGAAUCAGCAAAAGACUGACAACUUGGCCACCUCACUGUCCCGCAGAUAUCUGAGGACCACAAAAGCUCUGGAUGCCCAAAAGCGGAACAUGGAGUCCAUGAAGACCGAAUUGGACGUCACAGAGAACCAGAUGGAGGACUGGGUCAGUGACGUGAAGGA